Long non-coding RNA from Eurytemora carolleeae, 425 nucleotides. RefSeq lists it as uncharacterized. The transcript is spliced from 2 exons. The record is from RefSeq and is a predicted model, not a curated record. NCBI's taxonomy places the organism in Eukaryota, Metazoa, Arthropoda, Copepoda, Calanoida, Temoridae.
UAGUCAGUUUUUAAUAUUUCUAACGUUGAUAUUAAAUUCAUACUUGAUCAGGCAAAGAUUUGAAGGGUACAGUUGUGAUAUGGGUAUUGCCAUUUUUUUAUAUGGAGGGUCAUUUGAAAUUGCUCUUACAGUCCAUUUAAUCAUUCAUUCACACUAAAUAUUUCUAAGAUUUUGUUAAUAGCUUGAUCUUAAUAUAUCCAGAGCUGGUUCCCAGCUCACUGUACACAUAGAAUGCUUAAUAUAUAAGAGUUUGUCAACAUUUUUACAAAAUUUCAUGCUCGCAAAAGUGAGAAAAAUAAAACUCCAGAUCACGUUGGUUAGUAAUUGUAUUCAAUGAACGCGAGCAGGCUUAGUUUGAAAUGGAGACGUUGCAAACAUUGUGUGUAUUCUGUUCUGCAAUUGAGAAAAUAAAAACCAAGGUUUUA